This 490-nucleotide ribosomal RNA is filed under the name uncultured bacterium. Its description in RNAcentral is "partial 16S ribosomal RNA". It matches the Rfam family "Bacterial small subunit ribosomal RNA", at positions 899 to 1397 of the family's 1533-position model. The record is from RNAcentral.
ACUCAAAUGAAUAGACGGGAGCUCGCACAAGCGGUGGAGCAUGUGGUUCAAUUCGACGACAACCGAGGAACCUCACCAGGGUUUGAAAUGAAGAGAAAAACCUUUCGAAAGAUUGGUGUGUUCACAAGACGCUCUUCACAGGUGCUGCAUGGCCCUCGUCAGUUCGUGGUUUGAACUGUUCCCUUAAGUGGGUUAACGAACGCAACCCUUGUCUUCUGUUAUACGUGUCAGAAGAGACUGCUUCCUUUUCGGGAGAGGAAGGAGGGGAUGACGCGAGGUCAGCAUGGCCCUCUGAUACCCUGGGCUACACACGUGCUACAAUGGCGCAUACAAUGGGUUGCCAACCUGCAAGGGGGAGCUAAUCCCAUCAAAGUGCGCCCCAGUUCAGAUAGAAGUCUGCAACUCGACUUCUUGAAGAUGGAAUCGCUAGUAAUCGCGGAUCAGCUACGCCGCGGUGAAUACGUUCUCGAGCUUUGUACACACCGCCCGU